This 494-nucleotide ribosomal RNA is filed under the name uncultured bacterium. RNAcentral's name for it is "partial 16S ribosomal RNA". It matches the Rfam family "Bacterial small subunit ribosomal RNA", at positions 28 to 507 of the family's 1533-position model. The record is from RNAcentral.
GACGAACGCUGGCGGCGCGCCUAACACAUGCAAGUCGAACGGAAAGGCCUGCUUUCCCUUGUGGAUUGCGGGUACUCGAGUGGCGAACGGGUGAGUAACACGUGAGUGAUCUGCCCCCAACUUGGGUAUAAGCCUGGGAAACUGGGUCUAAUUCCCGAUAGGACUGCAGGGUGGUGCCUGUGGUGGAAAACGAUUUUCUAGUGGUUGGGGAUGAGCUCGCGGCCUAUCAGCUUGUUGGUGGGGUAAUGGCCUACCAAGGCGGCGACGGGUAGCCGGCCUGAGAGGGUGGACGGCCACAUUGGGACUGAGAUACGGCCCAGACUCCUACGGGAGGCAGCAGUGGGGAAUAUUGCACAAUGGGCGGAAGCCUGAUGCAGCGACGCCGCGUGGGGGAUGACGGCCUUCGGGCUGUAAACUCCUUUCGACCGCGAGGAAGCCACCUGGUUGGAAGGGUGGUGACGGUAGUGGUAGAAGAAGCACCGGCUAACUACGUG